This 481-nucleotide ribosomal RNA is filed under the name uncultured bacterium. RNAcentral's name for it is "bacterial SSU rRNA". It matches the Rfam family "Bacterial small subunit ribosomal RNA", at positions 329 to 802 of the family's 1533-position model. The record is from RNAcentral.
AUCGUAACUCCUACGGGAGGCAGCAGUGGGGAAUAUUGGACAAUGGGCGAAAGCCUGAUCCAGCCAUGCCGCGUGUGUGAAGAAGGUCUUUGGAUUGUAAAGCACUUUAAGUUGGGAGGAAGGGCAUUAACCUAAUACGUUAGUGUCUUGACGUUACCGACAGAAUAAGCACCGGCUAACUCUGUGCCAGCAGCCGCGGUAAUGCAGAGUGUGCGAGCGUUAAUCGGAAUUACUGGGCGUAAAGCGCGCGUAGGUGGUUUGUUAAGUUGAAUGUGAAAUCCCCGGGCUCAACCUGGGAACUGCAUCCAAAACUGGCAAGCUAGCGUAUGGUAGAGGGUAGUGGAAUUUCCUGUGUAGCGGUGAAAUGCGUAGAUAUAGGAAGGAACACCAGUGGCGAAGGCGACUACCUGGACUGAUACUGACACUGAGGUGCGAAAGCGUGGGGAGCAAACAGGAUUAGAAACCCGAGUAGUCCUAGAGC